RNAcentral lists this non-coding RNA (28 nucleotides) under Homo sapiens (human). Lineage: Eukaryota; Metazoa; Chordata; Mammalia; Primates; Hominidae. The record is from RNAcentral.
UCCUAGUCCUGUGUCUGGUGAUGCCCCC